GCAAGUCGAACGAGAAAGCUCUUCGGAGUGAGUAGAGUGGCGCACGGGUGAGUAACACGUAGGUGACCUACCAUACAGUGGAGGAUAACCAGGAGAAAUUCUGGCUAAUACUGCAUACGAAGCACAAUUUUGAAAGUAGUGCUUGAAAGAAUGCUCCGGCAUUUGCUGAAUGAUGGGCCUGCGUAACAUUAGUUUGUUGGUGGGGUAAUGGCCUACCAAGACUACGAUGUUUAGCUGGUCUGAGAGGAUGAUC
This 253-nucleotide ribosomal RNA is filed under the name uncultured bacterium. Its description in RNAcentral is "partial 16S ribosomal RNA". It matches the Rfam family "Bacterial small subunit ribosomal RNA", at positions 57 to 305 of the family's 1533-position model. The record is from RNAcentral.